AGUCGAGCGGACAGAUGGGAGCUUGCUCCCUGAUGUUAGCGGCGGACGGGUGAGUAACACGUGGGUAACCUGCCUGUAAGACUGGGAUAACUCCGGGAAACCGGGGCUAAUACCGGAUGCUUGUUUGAACCGCAUGGUUCAAACAUAAAAGGUGGCUUCGGCUACCACUUACAGAUGGACCCGCGGCGCAUUAGCUAGUUGGUGAGGUAAUGGCUCACCAAGGCGACGAUGCGUAGCCGACCUGAGAGGGUGAUCGGCCACACUGGGACUGAGACACGGCCCAGACUCCUACGGGAGGCAGCAGUAGGGAAUCUUCCGCAAUGGACGAAAGUCUGACGGAGCAACGCCGCGUGAGUGAUGAAGGUUUUCGGAUCGUAAAGCUCUGUUGUUAGGGAAGAACAAGUACCGUUCGAAUAGGGCGGUACCUUGACGGUACCUAACCAGAAAGCCAC
This 452-nucleotide ribosomal RNA is filed under the name Bacillus subtilis. RNAcentral's name for it is "bacterial SSU rRNA". It matches the Rfam family "Bacterial small subunit ribosomal RNA", at positions 60 to 494 of the family's 1533-position model. Lineage: Bacteria; Bacillati; Bacillota; Bacilli; Caryophanales; Bacillaceae. The record is from RNAcentral.